UAUGCCUCGUAUCCUCAUCCCAGGGCUGU
Molecule: non-coding RNA, 29 nt
Filed under: Homo sapiens (human)
Lineage: Eukaryota; Metazoa; Chordata; Mammalia; Primates; Hominidae
Source: RNAcentral